AGACUCUUCCCACCGGGUUCCCGCACCCUCGCCCUGGCGCUGCAGUGCUGUCUCAGUUCAGAAGGGGGCGCCCAACGCCCGUCUUGAGGGUACCAGCCCUUCCUCCAAGCUACCCUGGGGAUACCUCCGUGGUUCGAAGCCCCGCGACAGGGACGUGGAAAGAGUGGUAUAUGUGACCAGACUCUGUCAAGGAAGGUUUCCAGAGGAUUGGACAUCCAAGCUGGAUCUUGAAGGGUAAAUAGGAGUUCUCCAAGCAAGGAAGAAAUUGCCCAAUGUUGUGAUUAUUUAUCAUCAUCAUCAACAUCAUAAUAUUGCUAACAUGCUUGUGCCAGGUGAAGAAACUGGCUCAGAGAAGUAAAGUAACUUGCCCAAAGUUUCACAGAUCAUAAGACAAAGAGGUAGGAUUUGAACCCAUGUAGUCAGAUGCCAGAGGCAGCACCCUAAUCACGAUAUUCCAUUGCCUUUGCUGGGUGUCUGUCUGAAUUAGGCAUUUUUAACUUGGUGGCCAAAGGCCAUGGUUCAUGUGUACUUUUCUGGGACAGGGACCUUGGUUUCCAUCAUGAUUUCCCAAGCAGGACUACUUGUGUGGCUUGAAAAGUGCUGGCUCGCAAAAAUCUCACAGAACCGCUACCGUGUGAUUGCAUGGACCUCAGUUCUGUCUGUGAACAUGAGCUUGAAGAUCCUAUUCCCACAGGCCCUCCCCCUCCUUACCCCUUCUUCCCAAGCCUCUGCUCAAGGGCAGUACCCCUGGCUUGGAAGAAGAUCAUAUUGCCUGGCCCCAGGGAGACAGCAGGUCAGAGGGAGGUGAUAGUGGAG
Molecule: long non-coding RNA, 816 nt
Organism: Eptesicus fuscus (big brown bat)
Lineage: Eukaryota; Metazoa; Chordata; Mammalia; Chiroptera; Vespertilionidae
Exons: 3
Source: RefSeq, a predicted model, not a curated record